RNAcentral lists this ribosomal RNA (497 nucleotides) under uncultured bacterium. RNAcentral's name for it is "partial 16S ribosomal RNA". It matches the Rfam family "Bacterial small subunit ribosomal RNA", at positions 28 to 507 of the family's 1533-position model. The record is from RNAcentral.
GAUGAACGCUGGCGGCGUGCCUAAUACAUGCAAGUCGAGCGAACAGACGAGGAGCUUGCUCCUCUGAUGUUAGCGGCGGACGGGUGAGUAACACGUGGAUAACCUACCUAUAAGACUGGGAUAACUUCGGGAAACCGGAGCUAAUACCGGAUAACAUGUUGAACCGCAUGGUUAAACAGUGAAAGACGGUCUUGCUGUCACUUAUAGAUGGAUCCGCGCCGCAUUAGCUAGUUGGUAAGGUAACGGCUUACCAAGGCAACGAUGCGUAGCCGACCUGAGAGGGUGAUCGGCCACACUGGAACUGAGACACGGUCCAGACUCCUACGGGAGGCAGCAGUAGGGAAUCUUCCGCAAUGGGCGAAAGCCUGACGGAGCAACGCCGCGUGAGUGAAGAAGGUCUUCGGAUCGUAAAACUCUGUUAUUAGGGAAGAACAAAUGUGUAAGUAACUAUGCACGUCUUGACGGUACCUAAUCAGAAAGCCACGGCUAACUACGUG